RNAcentral lists this ribosomal RNA (468 nucleotides) under uncultured bacterium. Its description in RNAcentral is "partial 16S ribosomal RNA". It matches the Rfam family "Bacterial small subunit ribosomal RNA", at positions 28 to 507 of the family's 1533-position model. The record is from RNAcentral.
GACGAACGCUGGCGGCGUGCUUAACACAUGCCAGUCGAACGGAAAGGCCCUGCUUUUGUGGGGUGCUCGAGUGGCGAACGGGUGAGUAACACGUGAGUAACCUGCCCUUUACUUUGGGAUAACUUCAGGAAACUGGGGCUAAUACCGGAUAGGAGCUCCUGCUGCAUGGUGGGGGUUGGAAAGUUUCGGCGGUUGGGGAUGGACUCGCGGCUUAUCAGCUUGUUGGUGGGGUAGUGGCUUACCAAGGCUUUGACGGGUAGCCGGCCUGAGAGGGUGACCGGCGACAUGGGGACUGAGAUACGGCCCAGUAUCCAACGGGAGGCAGCAGUGGAGAAUAUUGCAGAAUGGGCGGAAGUCUGAUGCAGCAACGCCGCGUGCGGGAUGACGGCCUUCGGGUUGUAAACCGCUUUCGCAUGUGACGAAGCGGGAGUGACGGUAAUGGGUCAAGAAGCACCGGCUAACUACGUG